AACGCACAUUGCACUCUCUGGUAUUCCGGAGAGUAUGCUUGUUUGAGUAUCUGUAAACAUCUCAAAUCUCUCUUCGCUUGCGUCGAGAGAAUUGGAUUUGAGCGAUCCCGACUCCUUCAUCAGAAAGAGGAGGGUCGCUUGAAAUGCAGGUGCAGCUGGACAUUCUUCUGAGCUAAAAGCAUAUCUAUUUAGUCCCGUCAAACGGAUUAUUACUUUUGCUUCAGCUAAUAUAAAGGUCGAAUGAACUACCAACGCUGAUUGCAGGAAAACUCGUUUGUAACAGAACUUGUAAACUCGAUCUCAAAUCAAGUAAGACUACCCGCUGAACUUAA
Molecule: unclassified non-coding RNA, 332 nt
Filed under: uncultured Mortierellaceae
Lineage: Eukaryota; Fungi; Mortierellomycota; Mortierellomycetes; Mortierellales; Mortierellaceae
Description: sequence contains ITS2
Source: RNAcentral